Cajanus cajan (pigeon pea) is the source of this 140-nucleotide non-coding RNA. The record is from RefSeq and is a predicted model, not a curated record. NCBI's taxonomy places the organism in Eukaryota, Viridiplantae, Streptophyta, Magnoliopsida, Fabales, Fabaceae.
UUUAUGGUCUUGCUCGUGAUCUACCACGCAGCCCAAGAAGGUAUACAGCAGAGAAUUCUGUGAAGUUUGGGGCUCCUCGGGAUACGGAUCACCCUGAACUAAGACAGCCACUAGCCAUGGAAGUUUGGGAGUCUAUAUUG